This 678-nucleotide ribosomal RNA is filed under the name uncultured archaeon. Its description in RNAcentral is "bacterial SSU rRNA". It matches the Rfam family "Archaeal small subunit ribosomal RNA", at positions 240 to 923 of the family's 1478-position model. The record is from RNAcentral.
AGUAAGGCCCCACCCAGCUAAAACAGUACGGGCUCUGAGAGGAGGGGCCCGGAGAUGGGUACUGAGACACGGACCCAGGCCAUAUGGGGCGCAGCAGGCGAGAAACCUUUGCAAUGUGCGAAAGCACGACAAGGUUAAUCCGAGUGUCUCCUGCUAAAGGAGUCUUUUGUCAGUUGUAGAAUCACUGGUGAAUAAGGGGUGGGCAAGUUCUGGUGUCAGCCGCCGCGGUAAAACCAGCACCUCGAGUGGUCAGGAGGUUUAUUGGGCCUAAAGCAUCCGUAGCCGGUUGCAUAAGUUUUCGGUUAAAUCUAUGCGCUUAACGUAUAGGCCGCCGAAAAUACUGUGCAGCUAGGGAGUGGGAGAGGUACACGGUACUCGAUAGGAAGGGGUAAAAUCCUUUGAUCUAUUGAAGACCACCUGUGGCGAAGGCGGUGUACCAGAACACGUUCGACGGUGAGGGAUGAAAGCUGGGGGAGCAAACCGGAUUAGAUACCCGGGUAGUCCCAGCUGUAAACGAUGCAGACUCGGUGAUGCAUUGGCUUGUGGCCAAUGCAGUGCCGCAGGGAAGCCGUUAAGUCUGCCGCCUGGGAAGUACGUACGCAAGUAUGAAACUUAAAGGAAUUGGCGGGGGAGCACCACAAGGGUGAAGCCUGCGGUCAAUUGGAUUCAACGCCAGAA